This 1363-nucleotide ribosomal RNA is filed under the name uncultured bacterium. RNAcentral describes it as "bacterial SSU rRNA". It matches the Rfam family "Bacterial small subunit ribosomal RNA", at positions 28 to 1387 of the family's 1533-position model. The record is from RNAcentral.
GAUGACCUCUGGCGGCGUGCUUAACACAUGCAAGUCGAACGAAGAUAUUUAGAAUGAGAGCUUCGGCAGGAUUUUUAUCUAUCUUAGUGGCGGACGGGUGAGUAACGUGUGGGCAACCUGCCCUGUACUGGGGAAUAAUCAUUGGAAACGAUGACUAAUACCGCAUGUGGUCCUCGGAAGGCAUCUUCUGAGGAAGAAAGGAUUUAUUCGGUACAGGAUGGGCCCGCAUCUGAUUAGCUAGUUGGUGAGAUAACAGCCCACCAAGGCGACGAUCAGUAGCCGACCUGAGAGGGUGAUCGGCCACAUUGGGACUGAGACACGGCCCAAACUCCUACGGGAGGCAGCAGUGGGGAAAUAUUGCACAAUGGGCGAAAGCCUGAUGCAGCAACGCCGCGUGAAGGAUGAAGGGUUUCGGCUCGUAAACUUCUAUCAAUAGGGAAGAAACAAAUGACGGUACCUAAAUAAGAAGCCCCGGCUAACUACGUGCCAGCAGCCGCGGUAAUACGUAGGGGGCAAGCGUUAUCCGGAAUUACUGGGUGUAAAGGGAGCGUAGGCGGCAUGGUAAGCCAGAUGUGAAAGCCUUGGGCUUAACCCGAGGAUUGCAUUUGGAACUAUCAAGCUAGAGUACAGGAGAGGAAAGCGGAAUUCCUAGUGUAGCGGUGAAAUGCGUAGAUAUUAGGAAGAACACCAGUGGCGAAGGCGGCUUUCUGGACUGAAACUGACGCUGAGGCUCGAAAGCGUGGGGAGCAAACAGGAUUAGAUACCCUGGUAGUCCACGCCGUAAACGCUAAAAGGGGGUGUCGGGGAGGAAUCCUCGGUGCCGCAGCUAACGCCAUAAGCACUCCCACCUGGGGAGUACGACCGCAAGGUUGAAACUCAAAGGAAUUGACGGGGGCCCGCACAAGCGGUGGAGCAAGUGGUUUAAUUCGAAGCAACGCGAAGAACCUUACCAAGGCUUGACAUCCCGAUGACCGCUCUAGAGAUAGAGCUUCUCUUCGGAGCAUCGGAGACAGGUGGUGCAUGGUUGUCGUCAGCUCGUGUCGUGAGAUGUUGGGUUAAGUCCCGCAACGAGCGCAACCCUUAUCUUCAGUAGCCAUCAUUCAGUUGGGCACUCUGGAGAGACUGCCGUGGAUAACACGGAGGAAGGUGGGGAUGACGUCAAAUCAUCAUGCCCCUUAUGUCUUGGGCUACACACGUGCUACAAUGGCUGGUAACAAAGAUGAUGCGAGACGGCGACGUUAAGCAAAUCACAAAAACCCAGUCCCAGUUCGGAUUGUAGUCUGCAACUCGACUACAUGAAGCUGGAAUCGCUAGUAAUCGCGAAUCAGCAUGUCGCGGUGAAUACGUUCCCGGGCCUUGCACA